GACGUAGGGCGCGAGCGUUGUCCGGAUUUAUUGGGCGUAAAGAGCUCGUAGGCGGCUUGUCGCGUCGACUGUGAAAACCCGUGGCUCAACCAUGUGGUCUGCAGUCGAUACGGGCAGGCUAGAAUUCGGUAGGGGAGACUGGAAUUCCUGGUGUAGCGGUGAAAUGCGCAGAUAUCAGGAGGAACACCGGUGGCGAAGGCGGGUCUCUGGGCCGAUAUUGGCGCUGAGGAGCGAAAGCGUGGGGAGCGAACAGG
RNAcentral lists this ribosomal RNA (254 nucleotides) under uncultured bacterium. Its description in RNAcentral is "partial 16S ribosomal RNA". It matches the Rfam family "Bacterial small subunit ribosomal RNA", at positions 524 to 776 of the family's 1533-position model. The record is from RNAcentral.